Molecule: small nuclear RNA, 106 nt
Organism: Vicugna pacos (alpaca)
Lineage: Eukaryota; Metazoa; Chordata; Mammalia; Artiodactyla; Camelidae
Source: Ensembl
AUGCUCACUUCGGCAGCACACAUACUAAACUGGAACAAUACAGAGAGGAUUAGCAUGACCCCUGUGCAAGGAUGACACGUAAAUUCAUGAAGCAUUCCAUAUUUUU